GUGUCAGCCGCCGCGGUAAUACGUAGGUGGCAAGCGUUACUCGGAAUUACUAGGCGUAAAGCGCAGGUAGGUGGUGUGAUAAGUCCGUAAUGAAAUCUCCCGGCUUAACUGGGAGGGGUUUAGGGAAACUGUCAUGCUUGAGUGUGGGAGAGGUAGCUGGAAUUCCUGGUGUAGCGGUGAAAUGCGUAGAGAUCAGGAGGAACACCUAUGGCGAAAGCAGGUUACUGGCCCAAUACUGACACUGAGCUGCGAAAGCUAGGGGAGCAAACAGGAUUAGAUACCCGGGUAGUCC
RNAcentral lists this ribosomal RNA (292 nucleotides) under uncultured bacterium. Its description in RNAcentral is "partial 16S ribosomal RNA". It matches the Rfam family "Bacterial small subunit ribosomal RNA", at positions 505 to 796 of the family's 1533-position model. The record is from RNAcentral.